This is a long non-coding RNA of Strongylocentrotus purpuratus (purple sea urchin), 569 nucleotides long. RefSeq lists it as uncharacterized. The record is from RefSeq and is a predicted model, not a curated record. NCBI's taxonomy places the organism in Eukaryota, Metazoa, Echinodermata, Echinoidea, Camarodonta, Strongylocentrotidae. The transcript is spliced from 5 exons.
UAGUCAAAUUACUGACUAAUCGCCAUUAAACCAAAACACAACAACAACAUUUGUCGUCGCGAGAGCAUCGUCACUUUGUGGUUUGUCUCUUGGACAAAAUCUUGCCUUGUGAAGCCGAAUCUUGACCUUAGUUGUACACGUCGUUUAGUUUUGACUGUUCUUUAGAGACUUGGUUAGUACCGGUGCUUUGGACUUUGACAGGGGCUUUGGACUUUGACGGAAGAAAGUUUUUGGAGUGUGGAUUUGGUGGAUGAGGAGGAGGACGCUGUUUCGGUGGACGAGGCGGCGGUGGACGCGGAAGGGGAGAAUUCGGCGGAGGAAGGGGACGAGGAGGUUAUUGACUGUUUUCAAGAUUGCUGAGAGUUGCAGAGAGUAAGUUGAUCUGCUUAAGAAGGCUAAAGUCAAGUAGUUUUUAAAAUAAAGCUACAAUGGAAUGAAACAGAUCUCCAUAAUUGGGAACAUAAUUGAACGCGGAAUAGGAAAGCUAUGGCUUAAUGAAAUUUUCUAUGACACUUCCGUAGGUAUGUAACAUAAUUUUGUGGACAAUUCUCAAUACUCUUCCAUUGGGU